RNAcentral lists this ribosomal RNA (465 nucleotides) under uncultured bacterium. RNAcentral describes it as "partial 16S ribosomal RNA". It matches the Rfam family "Bacterial small subunit ribosomal RNA", at positions 28 to 506 of the family's 1533-position model. The record is from RNAcentral.
GAUGAACGCUGGCGGCGUGCUUAACACAUGCAAGUCGAACGGAAAGGCUCCUGCUUGCUGGGGUACUCGAGUGGCGAACGGGUGAGUAACACGUGGGUGAUCUGCCCUGCACUUCGGGAUAAGCCUGGGAAACUGGGUCUAAUACCGGAUAGGACGAUGGUUUGGAUGCCAUUGUGGACAGUUUUUUCGGUGUGGGAUGAGCUCGCGGCCUAUCAGCUUGUUGGGGGGGUAAUGGCCUACCAAGGCGUCGACGGGUAGCCGGCCUGAGAGGGUGUACGGCCACAUUGGGACUGAGAUACGGCCCAGACUCCUACGGGAGGCAGCAGUGGGGAAUAUUGCACAAUGGGCGCAAGCCUGAUGCAGCGACGCCGCGUGGGGGAUGACGGCCUUCGGGUUGUAAACUCCUUUCGCUAGGGACGAAGCGCAAGUGACGGUACCUGGAGAAGAAGCACCGGCUAACUACGU